Armigeres subalbatus is the source of this 686-nucleotide long non-coding RNA. RefSeq lists it as uncharacterized. The transcript has 2 exons. Lineage: Eukaryota; Metazoa; Arthropoda; Insecta; Diptera; Culicidae. The record is from RefSeq and is a predicted model, not a curated record.
AUUAUAAUUUAUCCUGCGCGAUCGGUAAAUUCUUCGUAUUGCAAUAAAAUAUUUGGAGUGAAAUUCAAUGGUUUUUAUAGGUGCCUUUGUCUCGGCCAUGACCUCAAAUAGACAUCGUACACUGUUUCAAACGCUGCUCAUGCAAUUUUCGCUGUAAACAACAGAUUAUGGAGAACAGAAGCGGCUGUGAUUUAGAAAAUUCCUGCUCCAAGAAAAUUCUAAAAAGUAUUCGAUCAUACCAACGGGCAACUAAAUGAUGGCACUCCGGGAUAAAAUGUUCUGUUCCCAAGUCUGUUCCAGUUCCCGCUGUGGAGUUCGUGAACAGAAACCGAUGAAAAAAAAAUUCAACUUGGAUGAAUUUGAACCACGAAAGGUGAUGGGCAUGCUUACAACUGUGGACGUGGAGCUCUUCCAGCCAAUCCAAUCUUGUGGCCCUUCCUCUGUUCCAAAAACGUACUUCAGCUAGCAGCGAGGGAGCAAAGAACAACAAGAUAUUUCUGAUCUGGAUGAAUUAUUUUUAUAGUUUUUUUUUCCGGAAGGCGGAAUUUAUGCCGAAUCGUUUUAUGGAAUUUUAGAACGUCAUUAUCAGGAUGAAACAAAAUCUGUGGUACGACAAAUAGCUAAAAUUGUAGCAUUCCAUGUAAAAGAGACACAUUAAAAUAAAUGUUAUCAAUUCCAGAAAUCAA